CCUACGGGAGGCAGCAGUGGGGAAUCUUGCGCAAUGGGCGAAAGCCUGACGCAGCCAUGCCGCGUGAAUGAUGAAGGUCUUAGGAUUGUAAAAUUCUUUCACCGGGGACGAUAAUGACGGUACCCGGAGAAGAAGCCCCGGCUAACUUCGUGCCAGCAGCCGCGGUAAUACGAAGGGGGCUAGCGUUGCUCGGAAUUACUGGGCGUAAAGGGAGCGUAGGCGGAUAGUUUAGUCAGAGGUGAAAGCCCAGGGCUCAACCUUGGAAUUGCCUUUGAUACUGGCUAUCUUGAGUAUGGGAGAGGUAUGCGGAACUCCGAGUGUAGAGGUGAAAUUCGUAGAUAUUCGGAAGAACACCAGUGGCGAAGGCGGCAUACUGGCCCAUUACUGACGCUGAGGCUCGAAAGCGUGGGGAGCAAACAGGAUUAGAUACCCUGGUAGUCCACGCUGUAAACGAUGAGUGCUAGUUGUCGGCAUGCAUGCAUGUCGGUGACGCAGCUACGACAUAAGACACUCCGCCGUCGGGAGGUACGGUCGCGAAGAAGUUAAACGUAACGAAGAAGUUAGACGGCGUGAGACGUGCCGACGGACGACCGACGACGGGAGGAGG
This 607-nucleotide ribosomal RNA is filed under the name uncultured bacterium. Its description in RNAcentral is "bacterial SSU rRNA". The stretch from base 1 to 517 matches the Rfam family "Bacterial small subunit ribosomal RNA", at positions 338 to 873 of the family's 1533-position model. The record is from RNAcentral.